AGAGUUUGAUCAUGGCUCAGGACGAACGCUGGCGGCGUGCUUAACACAUGCAAGUUGAACGGGAUCCACUUUAUGAAGUUCUCGGAUGGAUUAAGGUGGUGAGAGUAGCGGACGGGCGAGUAACGCGUGAGUAACCUGCCCUUUGCAGGGGGAUAACAUCGGGAAACCGGUGCUAAUACCGCAUAAGACCACAGUAUCGCAUGGUACAGUGGUCAAAGCUGAGGCGGCAAAGGAUGGACUCGCGUCCAAUUAGCUAGUUGGUGAGGUAAUGGCCCACCAAGGCGACGAUUGGUAGCCGAACUGAGAGGUUGGUCGGCCGCAUUGGGACUGAGACACGGCCCAGACUCCUACGGGAGGCAGCAGUGGGGAAUAUUGCGCAAUGGAGGAAACUCUGACGCAGCAACGCCGCGUGAAGGAUGAAGGCUUUCGGGUUGUAAACUUCUUUGAUCGGGGACGAAGAUGACGGUACCCGAGGAACAAGCCACGGCUAACUACGUGCCAGCAGCCGCGGUAAUACGUAGGUGGCAAGCGUUGUCCGGAAUUACUGGGUGUAAAGGGCGUGUAGGCGGGGCGGCAAGUCAGAUGUGAAAUACCGUGGCUUAACUGCGGGGGUGCAUCUGAAACUGUCGUUCUUGAGUGUCGGAGAGGAAAGUGGAAUUCCCAGUGUAGCGGUGAAAUGCGUAGAGAUUGGGAGGAACACCAGUGGCGAAGGCGGCUUUCUGGACGAUAACUGACGCUGAGGCGCGAAAGCGUGGGUAGCAAACAGGAUUAGAUACCCUGGUAGUCCACGCCGUAAACGAUGGAUACUAGGUGUAGGAGGUAUCGACCCCUUCUGUGCCGCAUUAACACAAUAAGUAUCCCACCUGGGGAGUACGGCCGCAAGGUUGAAACUCAAGGAUUUGACGG
Molecule: ribosomal RNA, 906 nt
Filed under: uncultured bacterium
Lineage: Bacteria
Description: bacterial SSU rRNA
Rfam family: Bacterial small subunit ribosomal RNA
Source: RNAcentral